ACUCCGAAUGCCAAUUAAUUUAACUUGGGAGUCAGAACAUGGGUGAUAAGGUCCGUGUUCGAAAGGGAAACAGCCCAGACCACCAGCUAAGGUCCCAAAAUAUAUGUUAAGUGGAAAAGGAUGUGGCGUUGCCCAGACAACUAGGAUGUUGGCUUAGAAGCAGCCAUCAUUUAAAGAGUGCGUAAUAGCUCACUAGUCGAGUGACACUGCGCCGAAAAUGUACCGGGGCUAAACAUAUUACCGAAGCUGUGGAUUGUCCUUUGGACAAUGGUAGGAGAGCGUUCUAAGGGCGUUGAAGCAUGAUCGUAAGGACAUGUGGAGCGCUUAGAAGUGAGAAUGCCGGUGUGAGUAGCGAAAGACGGGUGAGAAUCCCGUCCACCGAUUGACUAAGGUUUCCAGAGGAAGGCUCGUCCGCUCUGGGUUAGUCGGGUCCUAAGCUGAGGCCGACAGGCGUAGGCGAUGGAUAACAGGUUGAUAUUCCUGUACCACCUAUAAUCGUUUUAAUCGAUGGGGGGAC
This 517-nucleotide ribosomal RNA is filed under the name Staphylococcus aureus. RNAcentral's name for it is "partial 23S ribosomal RNA". It matches the Rfam family "Bacterial large subunit ribosomal RNA", at positions 953 to 1473 of the family's 2925-position model. Lineage: Bacteria; Bacillati; Bacillota; Bacilli; Caryophanales; Staphylococcaceae. The record is from RNAcentral.